CAGGCCUAACACAUGCAAGUCGAGCGGAUGAGUGGAGCUUGCUCCAUGAUUCAGCGGCGGACGGGUGAGUAAUGCCUAGGAAUCUGCCUGGUAGUGGGGGACAGCGUUUCGAAAGGAACGCUAAUACCGCAUACGUCCUACGGGAGAAAGUGGGGGAUCUUCGGACCUCACGCUAUCAGAUGAGCUUAGGUCGGAUUAGCUAGUUGGUGAGGUAAAGGCUCACCAAGGCGACGAUCCGUAACUGGUCUGAGAGGAUGAUCAGUCACACUGGAACUGAGACACGGUCCAGACUCCUACGGGAGGCAGCAGUGGGGAAUAUUGGACAAUGGGCGAAAGCCUGAUCUCAGCCAUGCCGCGUGUGUGAAGAAGGUCUUCGGAUUGUAAAGCACUUUAAGUUGGGAGGAAGGGCAGUAAGUUAAUACCUUGCUGUUUUGACGUUACCAACAGAAUAAGCACCGGCUAACUUCGUGCCAGCAGCCGCGGUAAU
This 487-nucleotide ribosomal RNA is filed under the name uncultured bacterium. Its description in RNAcentral is "bacterial SSU rRNA". It matches the Rfam family "Bacterial small subunit ribosomal RNA", at positions 43 to 524 of the family's 1533-position model. The record is from RNAcentral.